CGCCAUGACAGCUGCUACCAUGCAGUCGAGCGGUAGCACAGAGAGCUUGCUCUCGGGUGACGAGCGGCGGACGGGUGAGUAAUGUCUGGGAAACUGCCUGAUGGAGGGGGAUAACUACUGGAAACGGUAGCUAAUACCGCAUAACGUCGCAAGACCAAAGAGGGGGACCUUCGGGCCUCUUGCCAUCAGAUGUGCCCAGAUGGGAUUAGCUAGUAGGUGGGGUAACGGCUCACCUAGGCGACGAUCCCUAGCUGGUCUGAGAGGAUGACCAGCCACACUGGAACUGAGACACGGUCCAGACUCCUACGGGAGGCAGCAGUGGGGAAUAUUGCACAAUGGGCGCAAGCCUGAUGCAGCCAUGCCGCGUGUAUGAAGAAGGCCUUCGGGUUGUAAAGUACUUUCAGCGGGGAGGAAGGUGUUGAGGUUAAUAACCUCAGCAAUUGACGUUACCCGCAGAAGAAGCACCGGCUAACUCCGUGCCAGCAGCCGCGGUAAUACGGAGGGUGCAAGCGUUAAUCGGAAUUACUGGGCGUAAAGCGCACGCAGGCGGUCUGUCAAGUCGGAUGUGAAAUCCCCGGGCUCAACCUGGGAACUGCAUUCGAAACUGGCAGGCUAGAGUCUUGUAGAGGGGGGUAGAAUUCCAGGUGUAGCGGUGAAAUGCGUAGAGAUCUGGAGGAAUACCGGUGGCGAAGGCGGCCCCCUGGACAAAGACUGACGCUCAGGUGCGAAAGCGUGGGGAGCAAACAGGAUUAGAUACCCUGGUAGUCCACGCCGUAACGAUGUCGACUUGGAGGUUGUGCCCUUGAGGCGUGGCUUCCGGAGCUAACGCGUUAAGUCGACCGCCUGGGGAGUACGGCCGCAAGGUUAAAACUCAAAUGAAUUGACGGGGGCCCGCACAAGCGGGUGGAGCAUGUGGUUUAAUUCGAUGCAACGCGAGGAUCUUACCUACUCUUGACAUCCAGAGAACUUACCAGAGAUGCUUUGGUGCCUUCGGGGAACUCUGAGACAGGUGCUGCAUGGCUGUCGUCAGCUCGUGUUGUGAAAUGUGGGUUAGUCCCGCAACGAGCGCAACCCUUAUCCCUUUGUUGCCAGCGGUCCGGCCGGGAACUCAAAGGAUA
Molecule: ribosomal RNA, 1118 nt
Filed under: Enterobacter asburiae
Lineage: Bacteria; Pseudomonadati; Pseudomonadota; Gammaproteobacteria; Enterobacterales; Enterobacteriaceae
Description: bacterial SSU rRNA
Rfam family: Bacterial small subunit ribosomal RNA
Source: RNAcentral